UUCCUACCUCAAAUGUCUAGA
RNAcentral lists this non-coding RNA (21 nucleotides) under Rattus norvegicus (Norway rat). Lineage: Eukaryota; Metazoa; Chordata; Mammalia; Rodentia; Muridae. The record is from RNAcentral.